CAUGUGAGUGUCUAAAGAGGGAACAUAAAGUACUUACGGGGGUAUGGAUGGACCAAGAGCUAGUUCAUUUCCAGUUCUAUAGUCUCUUGUAUUUUCAGGACCUGGCAAGAAAAACUAAAUGUAUAUCACAAAUGAGAGGAAAAAAUAAUUCGAAAAAUCGCUAUGGCGGGUUCCAAAUUCCAGCAAUAUUAGUCCAUCUAUGAUGAUGCCUCAAAGAUUAAAGUUGUGAUUUCUCAUAAUAUGUUUCUCUCUCUUUUAACACUCUCCAAAAUGCAUACUUUAACAAUUGUAGCAAUAUUUAUUUACUGAACUACAAAUGUAUAAUGCUAAGAAUAAGUAGCAAUGCACCAUGUGCAUUCGUGAGAAUUUCACAAGAAGAUACUGCUAACCAAGUUUGCAACACAAUUUAUGUACAAAGAGUACCUCUUCCAUAAGAUUUAUUUCUAUAGAGAAGAGUGAAACCACACUUCUUGCAAAUGAAAGAAAAUUACAGUUGAAGAUACUAAAAACAGUAUAUGAGAUGAUUGCCAGGAAGGAAAGAAUCGUGCAGAGCAAGAUCCAGAUUUCCGUUUUCACAUGCUAUAGGGUCAUGGAUGGUGAUUAAUUUUGUUCCAUCUGGAAAGAUCCCCUCUACCUAAAUUACAUUACGACUGAAUAGUCACCAGCUACCUUGAACUGCAGAUGAACAUGACAAAAAGAAUCAUCAAAGACAGAGAAAAUGGGGCAUCCGUAGUACCUGAACACAAUCCAACAGUUGGAAGAUCGAACUUGUCUCCUGAAAACCAAAAAGUUAAUUGUAAUCCCACUGAUCUUCGUCAAAAGCAUCAAGUCAUUCAAAUAAUUAUAUUCUUUGAGGCAUUUCGGUCCACUCAAAUUGAUUUCACCUACGAUCGAGUAACAUCAGUACUCACGAUGCACUCUUUACAUCAUCCAUAUUUAUUAAUUGAUUCCCUUCUUCCAUUUUCUAGGUGCAUGACUUUUUCACUUCCUCGUGCCAAGGCAGUCAUAUUCUUUACAAUUAUACAUUUCCCUUUAUGAUUUCUUCCUUCUAUUCACAGAAGACAGUAAGCAGGUUUAUUACAGGAAGAAUUUCAAUAAUCCAUUCACAAUAUAGAAGGGAAAAGAAGGCAGCUGCAAAAUCAACUAUCGCAAAUUGACCAAGUCAUAUACCCAAAUUACUUACUUACAGAAAGUGAUGAUCGAUGCUCUCGUUGGUAUAGCUUUUAUAUAUCCGAGAGAAUCUGUUUCUGGUCACUGUAAACACAGGGGAUCAGUUCCUAACAAUUAACACCGGGACUCACAAAUCUGAAAUGAAAUGUCAAUGACUCCAAAUAUACAUAACAAUCUAGCAUAACCAAACCAUUGACAAGCAUUAGACUUGAACAACAGGAAUACACAUUGCUUGCAUUCUUUCUAGUGUGCUAUUGAGGUGUGACCGAAUUAAGAUUUUAAUUAAUUUGAAUAAUAUUGAGAGUAAAAUCUAAUUGAUCAAAGCUAGAGUUGUCUUUCUAACUAAAUUAAGUAAUAUGUCAGAUCAUGGAACGUUUCAUGAAACUGGUGGUGCUAUGUACGUUAAGAAUGAAUAAUGUUCUCUAUAAGUGUUGACUCAAAGAAAAAGGGAAGAGAAUUAGAAAAAUGAGUUUCUCCAUUCCAAUUCAGGUAUGACAUGACCCAUCCUGGUUCCAGCUCGGUUUCAGGCUUGGCCAAUUCAAACUAAAAACAUGUGCAGACCUGAUGAACCAAUUUUAGUAUUUAAGUGGAAACGAAUAGCAUUGAAGCAGUAGACUAUAUUAUUCAUUGAGUUUAGAAGCUGACUAUAUACACUAUAAAGGCGAUGUAAAGAGACUCUGUACGUAAAACAAACGCAAAAUUGCACAAAAUUUCAAUGCUUAAGUGUGGUUUUGUACACACAAAUGGAGUUCCUAUAUUGUCCGCAUAUUUACAAACACAGAAAAUGGAGCUAUAAACUGACCCCAAAAUAGAAAAUUAAAAAAGAACUCUUGUCUCUAAGGUAAGAGAUGCAGAAAUCCACAAAAAAUCUGCAAAUUGAGAAAUGCCUAUAUAUCGGGAUUAAAAAAAAGGAUAUUUACAAUGGAAACGAACCAAUUGCGAUGUGUUGACAUCAAUUUUCAUCUUUUUCCUCUGUUUUUCUUAAUCUUUUCGAUCAUUAUCCUAAUUAUAUCCACAUCCAAGCUUAACUAUUUGAAGCAAACACAAGAAGGAAACAUGAGAAGAAACAACGUGUGUCUAGUUUGUGUUGGAAAGAGUUGGGUUAGCUAAAGUUUUUCAUCAGUCUCAAUUUUCAGCUCCUUUUUAUCUCAUGCGAGAUAAUUAUUCCGCAAUUAUUUGGGUUUUUCAUUUCCUAACUUUGCUUUCUACUGUUUGCUUUUGCAAUUUGUUUGCAUUCCACUAAUUAUAUUUUUAUUCGAUAUUCUGAUUUUUUUGUUUGGACCAUUGUUUUCUGAUGGGUAUUAUUUUUCUCGUCUUGUGUUUCUCUGUUAAUUUCAUGCUAUGUAUUUUUGCGUUCGAUUGAGAGUAUAGGAUAGCAAGAUAAAGCUCAAAAAUACACACAAGCAAGCUUCAAAAUCCAGAAAAGUCCAAAGUUAAGAAAAGAGUAGGUAAGAAGAUGGAAAAAAAAUCCAAAAUUGAAGAAACUCAAACCCACCACAGAGUAGAGGGGAAAACAGGAGGGGUCAAGAGGUGCCAAAAAAAUUGUUGGAUACAAAGAAAGCACCAAAUAUUGCAAAAUCAAACAGAAGCAGAGUUAAGAAAUCAAAAUCAAUACAAAUGUAAAGUAUGCUCACCUGGACACAACUAUGAAGUCGACAAAAGUGCAAAGAGAAGAACAGGAGAGAGCAGAUGGUGACACUUGGUGGUCAGCAAUGGAGGUGACGUUAGGAUUGAUGAGGAAAUUGAAUGAAAGGUGUC
Molecule: long non-coding RNA, 2928 nt
Filed under: Solanum tuberosum (potato)
Lineage: Eukaryota; Viridiplantae; Streptophyta; Magnoliopsida; Solanales; Solanaceae
Description: long non-coding RNA (STUB_LNC001816)
Source: RNAcentral